This 528-nucleotide ribosomal RNA is filed under the name bacterium het-w-27. RNAcentral describes it as "bacterial SSU rRNA". It matches the Rfam family "Bacterial small subunit ribosomal RNA", at positions 49 to 575 of the family's 1533-position model. The record is from RNAcentral.
CUACACAUGCAGUCGAGCGGGAGAUGUAGCUUGCUACAUUACCUAGCGGCGGACGGGUGAGUAAUGCUUAGGAAUCUGCCUAUUAGUGGGGGACAACAUUCCGAAAGGAAUGCUAAUACCGCAUACGCCCUACGGGGGAAAGCAGGGGAUCUUCGGACCUUGCGCUAAUAGAUGAGCCUAAGUCAGAUUAGCUAGUUGGUGGGGUAAAGGCCUACCAAGGCGACGAUCUGUAGCGGGUCUGAGAGGAUGAUCCGCCACACUGGGACUGAGACACGGCCCAGACUCCUACGGGAGGCAGCAGUGGGGAAUAUUGGACAAUGGGCGAAAGCCUGAUCCAGCCAUGCCGCGUGUGUGAAGAAGGCCUUUUGGUUGUAAAGCACUUUAAGCGAGGAGGAGGCUACUUGGAUUAAUACUCUAGGAUAGUGGACGUUACUCGCAGAAUAAGCACCGGCUAACUCUGUGCCAGCGCCGCGGUAAUACAGAGGGUGCGAGCGUUAAUCGGAUUUACUGGGCGUAAGCGUGCGUAGG